AUCAACUUUCGAUGGUAGGAUAGAGGCCUACCAUGGUGGUAACGGGUAACGGGGUGUUAGGGCACGACACCGGAGAGGGAGCCUGAGAAACGGCUACCACAUCCAAGGAUGGCAGCAGGCGCGCAAAUUACCCAAUCCCGACACGGGGAGGUAGUGACAAUAAAUAACAAUACGGGGUCCUUUCGGGUUUCGUAAUUGGAAUGAGUACAAUUUAAAUCUCUUAACGAGGAACAAUUGGAGGGCAAGUCUGGUGCCAGCAGCCGCGGUAAUUCCAGCUCCAAUAGCGUAUAUUAAAGUUGUUGCAGUUAAAAAGCUCGUAGUUGAAUUUCGGGAUUAGUACGUUGGUCGUGCCUUCGGUACGUACUGGUGUUACUGAUUCCUACCUUCUGACGAACCAUCAUGUCAUUAAUUUGGUGUGGUGGGGAAUCAGGACUGUUACUUUGAAAAAAUUAGAGUGUUUAAAGCAGGCUCGCGCUUGAAUACAUUAGCAUGGAAUAAUGAAAUAGGACGUUGACCCUAUUUUGUUGGUUUCUAGGAUUGACGUAAUGAUUAAUAGGGAUAGUUGGGGGCAUUAGUAUUCAAUUGUCAGAGGUGAAAUUCUUGGAUUUAUUGAAGACUAACUACUGCGAAAGCAUUUGCCAAGGAUGUUUUCAUUAAUCAAGAACGAAAGUUAGGGGAUCGAAGACGAUCAGAUACCGUCGUAGUCUUAACCAUAAACUAUGCCGACUAGGGAUCGGAUGAUGUUAUUUUUAAUGACUCAUUCGGCGCCUUACGGGAAACCAAAGUGUUUGGGUUC
Molecule: ribosomal RNA, 796 nt
Filed under: uncultured Glomeromycotina
Lineage: Eukaryota; Fungi; Glomeromycota
Description: SSU rRNA
Rfam family: Eukaryotic small subunit ribosomal RNA
Source: RNAcentral